CCUAUAAUUUACUAACUCUUUGUAAGUCCUAGUCCUUUUAUGAUUCGAAAUCAUGAUUCAACAAUCCAAUUAGUCAAGACCUCUUUUAUGUGUGACUCCAUAAGUUUUAUUCUGCUUGAGAGUAAGAAAUAUUUUGAUCUCUAUCAAAAUAAUAUUGAAACUUCUUUCAAUAGAUUAGAAUAAUUCCAACUCACUAAUCGAGAAUUAUUAACCAUCAAAAUAAUUCUUGUUGGUCCCA
RNAcentral lists this long non-coding RNA (238 nucleotides) under Elaeis guineensis (African oil palm). RNAcentral describes it as "long non-coding RNA (EGUI_LNC067445)". The record is from RNAcentral. Lineage: Eukaryota; Viridiplantae; Streptophyta; Magnoliopsida; Arecales; Arecaceae.